CAAAAGAGAAGGCCAAAGGAAUGGGUUGCAAACAGCCAACUCCAGAGCAAAGUUGAAAAGAAAAAUGGAUACCAAUGCUCUCUCUCCUUCUCUGGACCAUUAAUUUUGACUAUGUUUCCGAAUGCUUGUAUUUAGUACAAUUAAAAGUUACUCUUUUUUGUUUUUCCUUUUUUUGUUUUUUGUUUUUUUGUUAGUUUUUUAACAGCUGCAAGGCCACAAGCUAUGCAAGGCUACAAGUUACGGUCUCUUUGGUCCUCUGCUUCUUGCAACAUUAUUGACCAGCCAGCUAGGAGAGGAGAUGACAGGUUUACUGUCUCCUUUGCCUCUAGGAGCUUAAGCCCUGGGUCUCAGGAGUCCUGAGACCCAGCAGCACCAUCGGGAGAAAUUCAGCCUGGUUGGGAGAUCAGCCCAUUUGUGACCCAGUGCCCCUACCCAGCAAUGCAAUGGUAUCUAAUGGGCUACAGGAUGAUUGCAGGAACAGCUCACUUCAGAAACCACAGUAAGGAAUCAUGCCUUAAUCGAUCCAUCAUGGUUUGCUGAAACAGGCAGCUAAUCAUGCAACAAGACAGAGUUGUCACUGAGAACAACAGCCCUGCUCUGGUCCCUCCAAAAGCCGACGAAUCCACACAAGACUAAAGAUGAAGAAGAGGACAACAAGCCCAGCUCUAAUCACACUCCAGAAGAUAACUAGUCUACGCACAGCCAAAACUUAAAAACUCAUCAGUCUUUCCCAGAGACAGAUUGAACUUCAAGGUAAAAGUGAAUUUUCAGAUGCGGACAAGCUAACUUCUAAGGAUUAUGAGUAAUUCGACUCAUCUUUUAAAUAUCCAGAAAACCUCAUUUUUAGUGAAAGAGUGGAGAUAAAAGAAUAUUAAGAGUCCAGAAACUGGUGUUCUGGCUGUGGCCCUGCCUUAGACUGUCUCACUUUGUAGUCACUUUGUAAGUGUAAAAUAAGCAUGUAGAGCAUAUCAUCUCUGUGGUUCUUUCCAGCUUGAGAAAUCUUUAUAUUUGUAUGUAACCCAUUGGUUAGUCUUGUAAAAGUCAUCUUCAAAUCUGGAAGUAUAAUAUUUUGAAAAGUCAAUGAGAGGGCUCCGUAAAUUUCGUGAAUAUCUGUUAAAGUAUUUGGGUGAAAUCACUGACAUUUCAAAAGAAUUCAGAUUAUUGUCAACAAGCCAUAUGGAUUCUUCACUGUCACUGGGUUGACUUUCUUGUUGGGAAAUCUAGUUUUGUAAACAAAGUUAAUUCUUUUAAGUACAAGAAGACUCUGACAAGCUAAUACAUUGGCAAGUGGUUAUGUUUGGAAAUUCACAAAAUCCGCUCAGGAAAAAGUCCACCUAGUUACUUUGGCUGCAGUUCCCAUGCUCCAGCCAGUUGCCCCCACAUGGCACUGUGGCCCUCCCACACUGUCAUAAAGCCUGAUAUGCUAUUCAAAACCCAACUGAAAUGCCAUAUCCUCCUUAUUUCUGAAGGAGGUUAUUGCUAAGGAACGACUCAUGGGAAAACCAUUUGUGCCUCAUGCAGAUGCAGGAAACGUGCCCGGGCAUCUUGAAAUGGAUGAGUUCUCUUCUGGAGAUAUGUCUCAUGUGUACGCAUAUCUGGAGAUAUGCCUCUUGUGGGUGCUGCUGCAGCUGCUGUGCCCAUCUCAUAUCAAUACCCAAGCUUUUCUCAUGACGAACCAGAUGACUCUUGGUAACCAGGUUUGCUCCCCAGCUUCUAAUUUCAAUAUGAUGAGAAGUUACAUAACAUUUACUCCUUUGUAAAGGUUUCUCUGUCAUCAGACAAAACUCUGAAUAGAAACCGGUGGGUAAUCCAGUGUACUGGUUUUUCCUAAUGUAUUUGGUACUAUAGUGUAUGAACCGAGAAUAAUCGAGUCAAGUGAAACCCCCUUUUCCAGUCAUAAAAUGUCUCAUUCAUUAUACUAAAAGGAGCUGUUCUUUUAAAAAAGCCUUCUUAUUUUUCUACUAAAUUUUUAGAUAAGUAUAACCUACUAUAUUCCUCAAAUCUAGGCUUACAUUUGAGAAGGGUAAGCUGUGUUUUUUCCUCCGAAGAGUUGGGCUGUGAUCUUUACAACGAGACGUCGUUUUUCCCAGCAUAUUUCUGUUUUCUACCUAAACAUUAAGAUACACAUUUUUCUAGGCAUUAGAAAUAGUACAAUAUUGCCUGUGGUCUUUCCAUUUGACACCUGUGGCUGGAAUAUAUGUGUCGCUCCAGAAUUUAUAUGUUGGAAUUUAAAUGCCCCUGUGUGAUAGAAUUAAAAAGUGGGGACUUUGGGAGGAGGUUAAGAGUGCAAUUAGAGACCUUAUAAAAGAACUCAAUGGAAGUAGCUAGGCUUUUUAGCCCUUCCACCAUUAGAGGACACUGUAUUUGUCCUCUCUGGAGAACACAGCAACAAGGUGCCAUCUUGGAAGAAGAGACCCACCUUCACCAGACAUUGGACCUAUUAGUGCCUUGAUCUUGGACUUCCCAGUGUCUAAAACUGUAAGAAAUUUAUUUCUUUCCAGUUUCAUAAGUUACCCAGUCCAAGGUACUGUGUUAUAGCAUCAGGAACAUACUGAGAUGGCAUAUUUAUUGUGGAAAUUUUGGUCCUCAUACUUAAUGAAUGGGCUUCAAGUAUUUCGUUAGUUUUUAAAAACAGGGCUCCUCCUUUACAAUUGAUCUCAUUUUUAUUUUUUAAAAGUUAGCUUUUACAACAUAGAACUGGAAAAAAUCUCUACUCAGACCUCUAGAGUGUCCUAGAUUUUGUGGCAGAAUCACUAUGGAUAAUUUAUAGGUGCUUGUGAUCUCAUCUGUGUAUUAUUUACAGUUUCCUCUAUCUAUUCAUGUGACAAAUAAUUGCACAAAACGCUACUUAAACAAUAGGCAGUAAGCAGUGUGACAGAUAGCACACUAAUUGAACUGCUGACGGUUUUUCUGUCAUGCCAGAAUAAAGGGUGAUGAUCCAGAGUCAGCACCUCAAUUAGGAGUGGCCAUGUGUCAGUAGUGACAAAUCCUAGGCCUCACUAAGGAAGGUCAGAUGCAGAGAAUCCAAAUUCAGAAUUAUGUUGACAGAUAAGGAGUUCAAACAGAUUAUAUAAUAAAAUUCUGAGUAACAUAUUUAGCUCUGCAACUCUAGAGAGUGACAGAACUGGUUUUCUAUAUAUUUCUGAGUAAAUCUUUCCAUUUUUAUACCUUUGAUUUGAAAAAUAAACAACUACACACAGGCCUUGAUCGUUUGUAAUUUGCAAAAGUUCAAGCCUUGUUAAUCUCGUAGGUAGGUGGCAUUUAUUUAUUUCAAAACUAAUCAGAAAAGCUAUUACUUUCUACAGAAAACCACAGAAGUGCUAGGGGCACUUUUAUGCCCAAUACAGCCCAAUAGGCUAUAAUAUUUUCUUAAAUUGCUGAAGAGAUUUUUGCCAGAAAUAAACAAAGUAGCGCUCACGGACUUGAUUUCCACACCAAUGUGCAAUCUUUACUAUGCACAUUAUUCCAAAGUGACACCACACUGAGGACAAAGAAAGAUUGGAUGUACAUAUGGUAAAAAGGCAAGUGAAUGAAGCUAUACUUUUAUUUCAUUUCUCUUACUACAUCCGCUACUAUUUUCACCAAUAUAGAUCUUUAAGCAUACACAAAUAUUGACUAUUAUCUACAAUUAUUUAUUGUAACACUUGAGUAGAACUAUAGGAAGCCUUUGACACUGAUUGAAAGUAUGGAUUCACUGUUAGGUUACAAAAAUUUAUACAUAGCAAAAUUUAAUUCUCUUUACAUUAAAAAUACUAGGCUACAUAAACAAAACUUUCAAAAGUUUCUGAUAAUAGCUACCAGAAUUAGAAAUGUAAAAUUAGGCUCAAGACACUAACUCUUCUGGAGUACUGGACUCUGAAGGCACCACCAUUGCUGGAAAGAAUAGUUAAAUCUGUCAUGCAAGAGGAAAAUAAAACACGUAGCUAUUUUUAGAAUAGCCAUUCUGUACAGAAGAGCGCUUCUCCCAGUUAAAAGAAAAAAUCCCAAACAGGUGUUUUUAUGGAGUAACAAAAAGAAAAAGAAAAAAAAAAAAAAGAUCUGCUGAUGUAUGAUACCUGAUGUUCAAAUUUAAUAGCAUCCAGAUAAAAGUUUACUUUUGUUAAUUUUGAAUAUAUUUCUGCAUUGUGGUGUUCUAAAACCCAGGAAACAGCCAAAUCACAAGUUACCAUUUAACAUAAACAUACAUAGUGGAUCCUAUAUUAAGCAACCCAUUUGGAAAGCACUGAUGUACCCAACAGUUACAUAUAGCAUUUCAUAAAGAACUGCACGGAGUUUACCAUUGCUAACACCCAGUACCUAUAGUCACCUAAUGUCUGGAACACAGUAAUGCAGAUGGCAAGUUUCUUUUGAAAAUGACUUAAGUAGUUUUCUUGUGGAACAUCAAACUUUAUUAUUCCAAGAAAUUAAGAUAUAGGUAAGAAAAAAUGAAAUGCCAACCCUAAUUUAAAUUAUCUACAUCUUCAAGUCUGUUAACAGUAGGAGGUUAGAUGUCUGUGGCCAAUUUUAAAUUAGGUUUCAGAUAAUUGAUAUGAAACUGUUUACACAGACCACUGAAAAAUGGUUUAAAAAGGUGGUCGUUUGAGUAAGGUAACAAUUCUUAAUUAAAAAAAAAUAUACAGAACAAAAUUCUAUUAAAGAUAUUUGCAUCUCUGGUUAUGAUACAAAUUCUGAAAAAUGUAUAUACCAAAUACUCCUUAAGGCAGAGCUGACAUUUAACUCUUGAGGAUAAUAAAAACUGGAUCAGUAUUUUGUUGAAAUAAAACUUAUGAUAAAAGUGCCUCUGGAAUUCUUGUCAAUGAAUCCGAAUCCAGAUUCUUUAGUAGUAGGGUCAGCAAAUGGAGCUAAUUUUAGCAUUAUUGAAAAAUAUUUUCUUAUUGGCUGAGGAAAUUAAUGGAACACGGACUUGGGAGAGAAAGCUAGUACAAAAAGUCAAUCAUGAGACGAAUCACACUACCUUUGAGCCAAAGUUUAAUAAAUGUCAGCAGUCAGAAUUGAAACUGCACAACAAUUUCAGUUUAUUUCCUAUGUAGAUAACACUUAACUGAGAAUAAAUGACGUACAUGUAAAUGUAUGGUCUCAUCUUUUGAUGCCGGCAUGUCACCAGUCCAUAUCAAAGAGUACCACAUAUUACACUGAGUGUUUUGGGAGAAAUGUUCUAGCAGUAAAUGUGAAUGUGCCCCCAGUUUCCAAAGAGUGAAAGGUCAUUUUGUCAAAGUGUUGCCUUUUAAAAUGGCUAACAUGAAACUUCCAAUAUUUGCUCUAAAGAAAAAGAUUUCCUCACUGCAAGGUAUUCCAGGCGCUGCAUCCCAGCAGCUUGAGAGAGAAAGUGAGGUGUUUGAAUGUCUACAUUAGUUUGGUGGAAUACUCAUGUGUAAUGCAGAGCAGCUGUCUCAUAAUUUGUCAGGGCUGUAAAUGCAUUGACUGAAAGCCCCCCGGCAAACAUUCGUG
This 5448-nucleotide long non-coding RNA is filed under the name Homo sapiens (human). Its description in RNAcentral is "HSALNT0409411". The record is from RNAcentral. Lineage: Eukaryota; Metazoa; Chordata; Mammalia; Primates; Hominidae.